Molecule: non-coding RNA, 73 nt
Organism: Gigaspora rosea
Lineage: Eukaryota; Fungi; Glomeromycota; Glomeromycetes; Diversisporales; Gigasporaceae
Source: the annotation of a GenBank genome assembly
GCCCCUUUGGCCCAGUGGUUAAGGUUUCGCUCUCGUAAAGCGAAGAUCGGUGGUUCGAAUCCGCCAAGGGGCU